CGCGCGCCCACGCCCCAGGUGCCCGGGCGCGCAUCACCGAGGGGCGCAGUGCCCAGGCCAGGGGGCCAGGGCGGCGCGGGUGCAGGAGAAGCCCAUUUAGAUUCAGAGGGAAGCCGGCCCUGGGAGACGGCCGCGAGGAACAAAGGCGCCCCAGAGCUGCCCACUUAGCAUGCCAGAGCCGCGCUGCUCCGCUCCCAGGCCGGGGACGCGGCCCGGUGCGGAGCGGAGGGCGCCGGGCCCCGGGAUCUCCUAAGGCCACGGGCACCUCCAAGGCCACCGCCGCACACCGCUUCGGAGUGCACGGUGCACACGCCCAGGCACAGCAGCCGGGCCCCAGAGAUUGCGAACGCCUUGGCUUUGAGUAAGGCGCCCAGCUCUACCAUCCUUCUUACCGUGAUGACUCCCCGUGGUUAUUACCUGAGGGCGUUGCAAGAGCCUUAUUUACACUGCCAAGUUGAGAAUUUAAAAAGAUUUUUUUUUUUUAAAUAGGUUUAUCUGCGUGUCCUGGUGAAGUUAGGAUGCAGAGAACUUGGAGCGGUUGUUUUCUACCAGACACGAGGAUCCCUGUGAGAGGAAGACAGCUAAACCACCAAGGCCCAGCCAACUGGUGGGGUCCUGAAAUGAAUGUCCCUUGAAAGCAGCACGUCUUUGCACUCUGCCAAUGAAGAAAUUGUUUACGUGAAAUGAGAUUGAGUUUAAAAGAAGGCAGGAAGAAAGAAGAAAACGCUAAGACUACAGUUCUAUGAGUGUGCAUACUGAAAACCUUUGGAUGGUCCUUCUAAUAAGAUCAAGAAAGUUCAGCAUCGAGACUUGCAGCAUGUCGUGGAGGCAGCAUUGGGACACAUCUGAGAAAUGCUUCAACGUCAAGUCCAGAGGAUGAACGCGUGAAGAAAAACAUGGUCAUCGACUCUUAGUUGUAAGUGAUUCAGGAGACUCUGACUAUGAUCCAAUUUUAGGAAAAGCUUAACUAAUAUAUGUGUGAGGGUUAUAUGAUAAAAAUCUACAACUAAAUAAAUCAAAAAGAGCUCUUUCAAUAACAUGAAAUUAAAAUUUUAAGUAUUAACAAA
Cebus imitator (Panamanian white-faced capuchin) is the source of this 1067-nucleotide long non-coding RNA. RefSeq lists it as uncharacterized. The record is from RefSeq and is a predicted model, not a curated record. The transcript has 3 exons. NCBI's taxonomy places the organism in Eukaryota, Metazoa, Chordata, Mammalia, Primates, Cebidae.